AGAGGCUAGCUAUUACAAACCAGAACAAAUAACUAAAACCCCUCCUCUUUUUGAUGCAGUUGAGAUCAUUCUGGACCUCUCAGCCUUCGAGACCCAUGCCAUUGCAGUGAGGUGAGAACAGCUUGGGAUGAGCCUUCUGAAAACCAUGCUGGAACAGCAUCCCUCAAGCCUGCUGGUCACUGGUGAUGAUCCUGAGCAAGCUGGGUGUUGCAGCACCAGAGCCCUGUGUCCUCAUGACUGUAAACCUGGGGAUCUGCAAGUUGCUGUGCAUACUUACACUGCCAAGGGAAAGUUUGAUGUGAGAGAGGACUCAGAGCACCUCAAGACACGUCUUUUAUCUGUCUAAACCCGUGCACUGAGGUCAGAUUUGUAACACUGUACCUUCAACUCCUUUAGGUUGUGUCAUUCCAGUGGAGCUCAAUGGAACUACUGUGGCAUAAACUGAUGGAAUGAUUAGUGGCAUAAACUGAUGGAAUGAUUAGUUGGAUGGAAAUUAGAGUCAGAAUUAUUUAUUUUUCCUCUUGUGUGAUUUUACCCGUUAAAAUAUUUCUUUCCCUGUAUCAAAAUUUUUUAGUGGGAAGAAAAGUUAUGAAGGACUUUGGUUUGCAAGUAUCCAAAUAUAUUGCUUCAGUCUUGUUGUUCUAAAUAUGAUACUUUAAUAUUGUUGAAUUAAUAAUAUUUUGUUAUGAGCCAGCUAACUGGCUGGGAUGCAAAUUGUCUUAUUCCCAGAUUCUCCUGGGCAAUUUAUAUCCACGAUUUGAUUUUUUUCCUUGAAUAGAAAGUUGAUUUUGUGGAAACUUUAUUUCCCACCAGAGGCUGAACUGUUGGGGGGUGUCCCUAAGCUUUUGUGCUGAAGCAAUGGAAGGCUUCUGAUGCUUUAAGGAGGAAAUCUGCAGCUUUACUUGAAGAAACCUCUCUAAAAAUCCAUGCUUUAUUUUAGUGAAACCUGAAGGGAAAGGUUCUUCUCCAUGUCUUUCUCUCAGCUGUAAAUAUUAACUAUUUAUGUACCUGAUAAUGACCUUUUAUACCACAAGAGGUAUCUGCAGACAUUUGAUUUAUUAAAACUUGCUUUGCUUUGAAUAUUUUCAUUUCAUCUCUUCUAGCUGAUAGGUCAGCUUGCUAUGAGACAAUAUUAUGUUGCAUUAUGGUCAGCUGAGUUACAAUUUGGCCAGUUUUUCUGUAGGUAAAAUUUUAUGGCAUCCUGACACACAUCACUGCAAAUUCCAUUAUAUAAAGCUCCAUAUUCCAUGCAUUAAUGUCUGAAUCUCUUCCACUCUCUUUUUCCUCAGUUUAAGCUUCCGAGUGGUAGUGAGCUUUUCCACUUAAUUUGCUUCAGUUUACUGCUUAAAGUGCUUUUAAGUGCACUUAAAAAGUGCACUUGCUGCCCACAAUUAGCACUGGUCAUCAUCCAAAGCCUGUCUCCCAUCAGCUGUUACCCAGUGAAAUUGCAUCUUCUUAAUGGGAUGACCAAAACCAAUACACCAUAUUGCAAAGUGGCUUUGUGGGAACUUUCUGCCAAGACAGCAUCAUCUCAGGGGAGCCUUACAGCUUAAAAGCCUUGUAUCAGGUGAUAGACAUUGCAGAGGAUGGUGGGGGCACUUCGUCCUUUCUUUCUUUUUAUCCCCUCUUCAAAAAACUUCCAUCACUCUGAUGACCAGUAAAAAGGAAAGGGAAAACAAAAGGAAGACAAAAGUAAUUUCAGGUUUUUUUGUGUUCCAGUCUAUGAUUUGGCCAUAUUUCUCUGGGCUACUUUUUUUCUCUUAUUUCUCUAGUAGCAUGUAAACAGAAGCUCAAGAGUAAAAUGAAUCCAUAAGGACUUUCCUACAUUUAUGUUUGUACAUUGAUGGAUGGAGAAGCAUUUAAGAGAAAAAGAAUCAAUUUUGAAUCCAAAGAUGUGGGUCAUCUCUUCUGGAUUUGCAUCAUUGUGUGGUGUCAGGGAUUAACUCAAACAUAUUUGUACUUUCUAGAGGUUCAUAGGUUCACCAGUGUAUGGCAGACAGUACCACAGAGCUGUGAAAUAGGUGAGCUCCACAAGAGUGAUGAUUAAAGUAUUUUUACUUUCCAUACAUUUGGCAGAAUCAAACAGCUGCAGCCCUGAAGUUUUACAUUUAUAAAAAUCUAUGCAUAAAUAAAUAUAACUGCUACUUGUUACA
Cyanistes caeruleus (blue tit) is the source of this 2153-nucleotide long non-coding RNA. The record is from Ensembl. Lineage: Eukaryota; Metazoa; Chordata; Aves; Passeriformes; Paridae.